This 30-nucleotide non-coding RNA is filed under the name Homo sapiens (human). Lineage: Eukaryota; Metazoa; Chordata; Mammalia; Primates; Hominidae. The record is from RNAcentral.
GAGUAAUGGCUUGCUUGAAUUCCUUCCCUC